UAGCUAAUACCGGAUAACAACAGAUGAUGCCUAUCAAACUGUUUAAAAAGAAUGGUUAUGCUAUCACUCUUGGAUGGACCUGCGGUGCAUUAGCUAGUUGGUAGGGUAACGGCCUACCAAGGCGAUGAUGCAUAGCCGAGUUGAGAGACUGAUCGGCCACAUUGGGACUGAGACACGGCCCAAACUCCUACGGGAGGCAGCAGCC
This 205-nucleotide ribosomal RNA is filed under the name uncultured Lactobacillus sp. Its description in RNAcentral is "partial 16S ribosomal RNA". It matches the Rfam family "Bacterial small subunit ribosomal RNA", at positions 160 to 355 of the family's 1533-position model. Lineage: Bacteria; Bacillati; Bacillota; Bacilli; Lactobacillales; Lactobacillaceae. The record is from RNAcentral.